CAUUAUGAAGCUUAAAGCGUUAACCUUUUAAGUUAAAGUGAGGAAGUACUACUUCCCAUAAUGA
Molecule: transfer RNA, 64 nt
Filed under: Gerbilliscus robustus (fringe-tailed gerbil)
Lineage: Eukaryota; Metazoa; Chordata; Mammalia; Rodentia; Muridae
Description: tRNA-Lys
Rfam family: tRNA
About the family: Transfer RNA (tRNA) molecules are approximately 80 nucleotides in length.
Source: RNAcentral